Molecule: ribosomal RNA, 776 nt
Filed under: uncultured Neocallimastigales
Lineage: Eukaryota; Fungi; Neocallimastigomycota; Neocallimastigomycetes; Neocallimastigales
Description: partial large subunit ribosomal RNA
Rfam family: Eukaryotic large subunit ribosomal RNA
Source: RNAcentral
CGUCUAUAUACGUAUAGCAUAUCAAUAAGCGGAGGAAAAGAAACUAACUAGGAUUCCCUUAGUAACGGCGAGUGAAGCGGGAAGAGCUCAAAUUUGAAAUCUUCAAGGUUCUACCUUGACGAAUUGUAGUUUAAAGAAGUGUUUUCUGUUGGAGUUUUGGUAAAAGUUCUUUGGAAUAGGACAUCAUAGAGGGUGAGAAUCCCGUAUUUGACCAUUAUUUCCAACUUUGUGAUACACUUUCAAAGAGUCGGAUUGUUUGGGAAUGCAGUCCAAAAUGGGUGGUAAAUUUCAUCUAAAGCUAAAUACUGGCGAGAGACCGAUAGCGAACAAGUACCGUGAGGGAAAGAUGAAAAGAACUUUGAAAAGAGAGUUAAACAGUACGUGAAAUUGUCAAAAGGGAAGCGUUUGACACCAGUGUUGUUUUCUCGGAAAUCAAUUAAAAAUGGCAGGAUUUUGUGUUGUAUUGACUUUAUCAGCUUUCUGCACUUUUUUCUUGUCUUUUUUAAUGCACUUUUCGUUUAACAAGUCAACAUCAAUUUCUUUUGCUGUAAAAGGGUCAUUGGAAGGUGGCUUUCUUUUCGGAGAAAGUGUUUAUAGCCUUUGGACUUCUGCAAUCGGAGAGAUUGAGGUCUGCAGCGUAGAUCCUUCGGGGUUAGAUACAUUUGUGCUAAGUUAUAGCCUUUCAUAGACAACUUGUUGACUAUGAUCAGUCAUGUAGCUUACUCGCUUAUGUCUAUUUUACCUACGCUUAGGAUGUUGACGAUCAGCUGAGCGCG